GACGAACGCUGGCGGCGUGCUUAACACAUGCAAGUCGAACUGAAAGGCCCUGCUUGUUUGGUGUUCUCGUGGCGAACGCGUGAGUAACACGCGGGAGUAACCUCCCCAUCACUUGGAUAUGCCUUGGAAACUGGGUGUAUCACACGAUAGGACAACCGCUUAUGGUUGGUGGGGGAUAGAUGUUUCGGUUGGGGAUGGGCGCUCGGGCUAUUAGCUUGUUGGUGGGGUAGUGGCCUACCAAGGCGUCGACGGGUAGCCGGCCUGCGAGGGUGGGCGGCCACAUUGGGACUGGGAUACGGCCCAGACUCCUACGGGAGGCAGCAGUGGGGAAUAUUGCACAAUGGGCGGAAGCCUGAUGCAGCAACGCCGCGUGCGGGAUGACGGCCUUCGGGUUGUAAACCUCUUUCGACUGUGACGAAGCUUUAGUGACGGUAACGGUAUAAGAAGCACCGGCUAACUACGUG
RNAcentral lists this ribosomal RNA (464 nucleotides) under uncultured bacterium. Its description in RNAcentral is "partial 16S ribosomal RNA". It matches the Rfam family "Bacterial small subunit ribosomal RNA", at positions 28 to 507 of the family's 1533-position model. The record is from RNAcentral.